GACGAACGCUGGCGGCGUGCUUAACACAUGCAAGUCGAACGGAAAGGCCCCUUUGGGGGUACUCGAGUGGCGAACGUGUGAGUAACACGUGAGUAACCUGCCCUUGACUUCGGGAUAACUUCAGGAAACUGGGGCUAAUACCGGAUAGGAAUCCUUGCUGCAUGGUGGGGGUUGGAAAGCUUCGGCGGUUUUGGAUGGACUCGCGGCUUAUCAGCUUGUUGGUGGGGUAGUGGCUUACCAAGGCUUUGACGGGUAGCCGGCCUGAGAGGGCGACCGGCCACAUUGGGACUGAGAUACGGCCCAGACUCCUACGGGAGGCAGCAGUGGGGAAUAUUGCACAAUGGGCGGAAGCCUGAUGCAGCAACGCCGCGUGCGGGAUGACGGCCUUCGGGUUGUAAACCGCUUUCAGCAGGGGCGAAGCUUGUGGUGACGGUACCUGCAGAAGAAGCACCGGCUAACUACGUG
Molecule: ribosomal RNA, 465 nt
Filed under: uncultured bacterium
Lineage: Bacteria
Description: partial 16S ribosomal RNA
Rfam family: Bacterial small subunit ribosomal RNA
Source: RNAcentral